GGACGAACGCUGGCGGCGUGCCUAACACGAUGCAAGUCGAACGGACGAGAGGAGCGUUGACUCCUCAAGUUAGUGGCGGACGGGUGAGUAACACGUGAGCAACCUGCCCUUCGAGGGGGACAACAGCUGGAAACGGCUGCUAAUACCGGCAUGAUACAGGUCUGGAGGCAUCUCCGGGCUGUCAAAGAUUUUAUCGCCGAAGGAUGGGCUCGACGUCUGAUUAGAUAGUUGGUGGGGUAACGGCUCACCAAGUCGACGAUCAGUAGCCGGACUGAGAGGUUGAACGGCCACAUUGGGACUGAGAUACGGCCCAGACUCCUACGGGAGGCAGCAGUGGGGAAUAUUGGGCAAUGGGGGGCAACCCUGACCCAGCAACGCCGCGUGGAGGAAGAAGGCUUUCGGGUUGUAAACUCCUUUGACGAGGGACGAUAGUGACGGUACCUCGAAAACAAGCCACGGCUAACUACGUGCCAGCCGCCGC
Molecule: ribosomal RNA, 481 nt
Filed under: uncultured bacterium
Lineage: Bacteria
Description: bacterial SSU rRNA
Rfam family: Bacterial small subunit ribosomal RNA
Source: RNAcentral